Molecule: ribosomal RNA, 449 nt
Filed under: uncultured bacterium
Lineage: Bacteria
Description: partial 16S ribosomal RNA
Rfam family: Bacterial small subunit ribosomal RNA
Source: RNAcentral
AACGAACGCUGGCGGCAUGCCUAACACAUGCAAGUCGAACGAGAUCUUCGGGUCUAGUGGCGCACGGGUGCGUAACGCGUGGGAAUCUGCCCUUUGGUUCGGAAUAACAGUUGGAAACGACUGCUAAUACCGGAUGAUGACGAAAGUCCAAAGAUUUAUAGCCAGAGGAUGAGCCCGCGUAGGAUUAGCUGGUUGGUGUGGUAAAGGCGCACCAAGGCGACGAUCCUUAGCUGGUCUGAGAGGAUGAUCAGCCACACUGGGACUGAGACACGGCCCAGACUCCGACGGGAGGCAGCAGUGGGGAAUAUUGGACAAUGGGCGAAAGCCUGAUCCAGCAAUGCCGCGUGAGUGAUGAAGGCCUUAGGGUUGUAAAGCUCUUUUACCCGGGAUGAUAAUGACAGUACCAGGAGAAUAAGCUCCGGCUAACUCCGUGCCAGCAGCCGCGGUAA